Molecule: ribosomal RNA, 305 nt
Filed under: uncultured bacterium
Lineage: Bacteria
Description: bacterial SSU rRNA
Rfam family: Bacterial small subunit ribosomal RNA
Source: RNAcentral
GUAACCUACGGGGGGCAGCAGUGGGGAAUAUUGCACAAUGGGGGGAACCCUGAUGCAGCAAUGCCGCGUGGGUGAAGAAGCACUCCGGUGCGUAAAGCCCUGUCAGCAGGGAAGAAAAUGACAGUACCUGGACAAGAAGCUCCGGCUAAAUACGUGCCAGCAGCCGCGGUAAUACGUAUGGAGCAAGCGUUAUCCGGAUUUACUGGGUGUAAAGGGAGCGCAGACGGCAGGGCAAGUCUGAUGUGAAAGUCCGGGGCUCAACCCCGGGACUGCAUUGGAAACUGUCCGGCUAGAGUGCAGGAGAG